Molecule: ribosomal RNA, 253 nt
Filed under: uncultured bacterium
Lineage: Bacteria
Description: partial 16S ribosomal RNA
Rfam family: Bacterial small subunit ribosomal RNA
Source: RNAcentral
UACAGAGGUCUCAAGCGUUGUUCGGAUUCAUUGGGCGUAAAGGGUGCGUAGGUGGCGCGUUAAGUCAGGUGUGAAAUUUCGGAGCUUAACUCCGAAACUGCAUUUGAUACUGGCGUGCUUGAGGACUGGAGAGGAGACUGGAAUUCCUGGUGUAGCGGUGAAAUGCGCAGAUAUCAGGAGGAACACCGGUGGCGAAGGCGGGUCUCUGGGCCGAUACUGACGCUGAGGAGCGAAAGCGUGGGGAGCGAACAGG